This 107-nucleotide small RNA is filed under the name Marmota monax (woodchuck). Lineage: Eukaryota; Metazoa; Chordata; Mammalia; Rodentia; Sciuridae. The record is from RNAcentral.
GCUGGGUGUGGUAGUGCACACCUGUAAUCCCAGAUACUCAGGAGGCUGAAGACAGAAGAGUCACAAGUUCAAGGCCAACUGGGCAACAUGGUGAGAUUCUGUCUCAG